This 423-nucleotide long non-coding RNA is filed under the name Equus caballus (horse). RNAcentral's name for it is "lncRNA (ENSECAG00000053555.1)". Lineage: Eukaryota; Metazoa; Chordata; Mammalia; Perissodactyla; Equidae. The record is from RNAcentral.
CCUUCAGAGGGAGCUGGGCCCUGCUGAAGCCUUGAUUUCCGACUUCUAACCUCUAGCACUACCAAAAUGUAUCAGGAUUCAAUGCUUCUCACUUUACAGAGGAGGAAAAUGAUGCUCCCUGACUUCCCCAAGGCCACACCACCAGUGAAUGACAAACAGAGGAUGGCACAGAGUAACUGCCCCUCAUUUUCCAACGGAGCCAUGGGAGAAAAGGAGGGACCUCGAAGUGAUGGAGAGAUGACGCAGGCACUCCAUAAGCAACGGGGUAUUUCCCGAGCCCAGCUGUUUGCCCUUGAAAACUGAACAAGAGAACGAACCGCAGAACUGUAGUUACCACAUUGAGAAGUAGGUUUGACUCUGGAAGGAACUUCUAGAGUUUAAGACAACAUCCCCGUGUACUUGUACAACACUUUCUGAUUCACA